This 135-nucleotide long non-coding RNA is filed under the name Polistes fuscatus (common paper wasp). Its description in RNAcentral is "uncharacterized LOC122518592". The record is from RNAcentral. Lineage: Eukaryota; Metazoa; Arthropoda; Insecta; Hymenoptera; Vespidae.
CUAACGGCUUCUCGAUUUUUGUGGGAUUUUAUCAGAGAGCGGUCGGAGCUAUAUACGCCCGUCGAUGCGUAUAUACACACAUAUACACAUAUAUAAUAUGAGCUUGCGAGGCGGAAAGAGAAGCAAGCAAUGAGA